Long non-coding RNA from Nicotiana attenuata, 3229 nucleotides. RefSeq lists it as uncharacterized. The record is from RefSeq and is a predicted model, not a curated record. The transcript has 2 exons. NCBI's taxonomy places the organism in Eukaryota, Viridiplantae, Streptophyta, Magnoliopsida, Solanales, Solanaceae.
UAUAAAUAAUGCCCCUCAAGAAGCUUAUACACAACAAGUUCUAUAGGGUGUAUUUCGUAGGCAUUUUGCCAGGAAGUUGGUGGUCUUAUCAUGAAUUAAGGCGGAGUGGCUGGUGAGGUCGGGACAAGAGAGGAACUAAUGCUCUUACUAUAGCACCAACCAAAAGUAGAUUCUCGACAUCUCAGAACAGAAUGGGUUCCCUUGCUUUCCGGCCCUUCCUCUUUGAGCCCGACUCUUUUCAUUUGGAACAAGAAAAGGUACAAAUCAUAGGAUUGAUGAUCUCCUCGUACCCUGUGUGAAUAUUGAGGGAAACUUCGUGCACCGGACUGCCGAUUGGGUGAGUGAUUUCCAUGCUAUGCUUGACAAGUGAGCAGUCCUUUUGCUGUUAACCUUUGUCUCAUUGUCUGUUCGACCUUGAAAAUAUAAGUUCAUCAUCUACUCACAAACCCUAGCUACUUGGUUACUAUUAGUAACAAACACGUCUCAACCACUUACCACGAUAGUGAAGGAGGUGGGGGUGCAUCUUUAUAGCUUUCUUGAUUUUGCAUUUAAAGUUGUACUUAAAAAGUUUAAAUCUAUGAAUAUAGGCAUUGAAAUUCGAAACACAGGGGUAAAUAGUGCUACCUACAAACAAAUAUAUAUAUAUAACCAAACAUAUAAAGAGGUACUCCGAUCCCUUCUGUUUUAUGUAACGUAAGGUCAAACUAAUUAAUUUUCGAUGUAAAUUCAAACAUAGAAUUUUAAUAUUUGUUGAAAGGAUGUAUCCCCUUAGCAGAGGCCGCUCAAUAGUAUUGGGGGACUAAAGCCAAGACGUAAUAAGAGACCUUAAACUUGUUAAAUAAUUUUAGAUAUUUUUGUUGAAGUUUAUUUUUUAUUUUAUUUUUUGAGAUGCACUUUCAUCUUGACGAUGUAACCAAACCUCUUUAAUCUUUGUUGUAACAUUACUAACCUUUGAUAAGAUUUUAUUAAGUUUAAUUUUAAAUUUUUCUUUUCACAUGACCGUCAACAUAACUUACUAUAUAUAUAACACUGCCUCCCAAAGUAACAAUCAUGUAGAAAUUUUUAUUUACAAAGAUGAUAAAUAUUUUACGAUCUAAUUAGCUUGAAGCGUACCUAUAGAGAUCUUGAAAGCAGAUAUCUUACAAAGUUAGAGUUGUAAAUAAAAUUUAUUCAUAUGAGAGUAAGAAGAAUUAGAAAGUAACUACAGAUUAAAUUGCCUUUCACUUUUAUUUGAAUUUUCUCAACCAACUUCGAAAAAAGACAACAUAAAAUAUAAACCAAUGUUAUUAACGAUUGGUGACAAGGUAGCAAAACAUGGUUGAAAAUUUUUCUAUCAUUAUUUAGUAAUAAAUACAAUUAAUAUUUAAAUUACAGAGUAGCUUUUGGACCUCUAAUUUUGUGAGGCCUAAUGGUCGCUUUAGUGGCAUGGGGGUUAAGCCGCCUCUGCCCUUAGCUUAGCGGUGUUGUAAUAUUUUGAGAAAGGGGUAGGAGUGAGCCAUUUCUUCCUUUAUGCUAGUUGAAUUCAUAAACUAAUUCAUUUAUCCUAACGAUAAUUAACAACUAUACUGUCCCUGAUCGAAGAGAUAAUUAGCACAAAAAUGGCACAAGUAAUAGAAAAUUCGUUGUAUUUUUUAAAGAACUUUUUCUUGAAAGGAUAGGAAAGAGGUAAUUAAGCCACAAGGUCUUAGAAGUACAUAUAAAAAUGGAAACAUAACAUAGAAAAGGAUGUAUAUUAAAAUACUUACCCUUUUUGUUGGGUUUUCCCUUUCGUUUAUGUCUUCUGAUGAGUUUGGUAUAAGGGCAGCCCGGUGCACUAAGCUCCUGCUAUGCGCGGGGUUCAGGGAAGGGCCGCACCACAAGGGUCUAUAGUACGCAGUAUUACCCUGCAUUUGUGCAAGAGGUUGUUUUUGUAGCUUGAGCCGGUAACCUCUCGGUAUAAGGAAAAUCAUCAAAUGUCAUGCUUGUGGUCCAAGUUUGUAAGCUUAUGAACUUUUGAACCACCUCCCUCCUACCAAGAGAUUACCAGCUCAAACUAUAGAAACAACAUCUCGCGCAUGAAUACAAGGUAAGAUUGUGUACAUAAAAUUCAACAUGAACAUCCUUCCCAGGACCUCGCCAUAAAGAGAAUUUAUAUUAGUACAUCGGAUUACCUUUUUUUUUCCUUCCCUCUUAUUGGGUUUAAUAAAAGGCUCUAAUUCACUCUAUCGGUUAAUAAUUCAAAGAGUAAAAUCCAUAGCCAAAUUCUUGUCUCUUAGUGCACAUGCAACUUUUACAAUUUCUGACCAAAAGGUAAAUGCAACGUCUAAAAUUUGCUAUUGUACCUUCCAUUAGUAGAAAGAAAGUUAGUUAGAUUAUUAAAAUUUAUUCUAAAUCAUGUUUACAUAACUAAUAGCAUCAGGAAUAUAAUUACUCUCUGUCGACUAAUUAUGAUAAGGUCAUUUCAUAAAAAUAAGACUGAUGAAGAUACGAAACCACCUGUUAAAUCAUCACACACUUUGAAAAUGAAGAAUCUGAAAACUAGAAACCCACAUACUUGGCGUAUCACAUAUUUCUUGGGUACACUAGUAUCUAUUUUUCAAAUGCACUAAAGAGACAUAAUUUAAAUUAAUGUAUUUAACUUAUAUACAGCGUAAAAGUUCUGAUACUAUCAGUAUAUUUUAACAUGUUUUAGAAGUUAAUCUUUCUUAUUUUAAAAGUUAUUCAUCUCACUUUUUAUUGACGAUUACCUGUAGUUAUCAUUUAAGUAACCCGAUAGUGUAAAUAGUCACUUUAAACAUAAAAGAGGAAGAAGAUUAAGGAGAAAAUAGUCAAAUACUCCUAGCUAGCUAGUUGAUGCUUUCUUUACUAAGGUCGACCAGACAUUGAAUCUAAGGUGAAAACAAGUAAAGAGACUGCUGAUUUGUCAAGGUUUGCACUGAAAUCAACACCAAUGCUUGAAGCUCAGUGCCAGAAACUUAUGGUAGUUAGACUUUGACAUGGACUCCAUCAACAAGAAGAAGUUUUUUGUCUGUAUCUUUCUCUUUAUCAUUAUAUUUUUAACUUGUUAUAGUAGGUAUUUGUCGUAUUUUUGAGUUGCUAAUUUAUUUUUUUAUGGAUGAUUAUUGUAGUUAUAUAUUCAGUUUUCUAGACAAUCUUUAUGUACGUGGGACGACAUACAAAUAUCAAAAUUUCAUUGACAAUAAUGUUUAGUUUUCAAAAGUUCAAUAAUAACGUUUUAGCUUCUUCUGGA